AUUGGGAGCCAUGGAGAGCACCUGCCAGGCCCUUGGGGUGGGGGUGGGUGCCAUGGGACCCCAGAGUGCUCUCCUGGGUACAGGGAGGAAACAGAUGAAGGCAGAAGCCCCCAACCCAUGGGGCUUGCCACAGUGGGCUGUGUCCUGGUGACCUGGGAUUUCCUGAGCCAAUUUCUGGGGGUGGACAUGGGGCACCUCUUUCGGGCUAGGAUGUCAGGUCUGAUGGCCCAGGGUCACAGUGAUCAGUCUCUGGACUUCUCUUUGCUUGUAAUGUCACAGGCCCCUUCAUUCCCCCAGCUCUCCCUGGGGCUCGUGCUGACCCCGGUUGCUGGCUCUUGGUGAUGUCUGCAGGCACCAGAGGCCAUGCAGUGGGCCUGGAGGGGGCUUGAUCAUGAGGUCAGCGAGGGGGUACAGCAAGCUGGGUGGAAGAUGAGACGCUGGGUGGUGGGCUGUGCGUGGGGCAUAGUGCUUGAGUCGGCCAGGGCGCCGAGGGAGGACAGAAUGUGGCUGAUGGUGCCUCAGGGCAAGUGAAGCCUUCUGCCUGGGUGAAGUUUUGUUCAGGGCAGCAACAUGGGCAGAUAUGCAGGAAGGUAGUGCCGUAGGGCCCCAAGGCCAGAAUCCCAGGCUGUACCUGCUCAGGGACCCUCCUACCCCCAGGCACAUCUCUGAUCCAGGACAUGAAGGCAUACCUGGAGGGAGCGGGCGCGGAAUUCUGUGACAUCACUCUGUUGCUUGACGGGCACCCACGGCCAGCCCACAAGGCUAUCCUGGCCGCCCGCUCCAGCUACUUUGAAGCCAUGUUCCGGUCCUUCAUGCCCGAGGACGGGCAGGUGAACAUCUCCAUCGGGGAGAUGGUGCCCAGCAGGCAGGCCUUCGAGUCCAUGCUGCGCUACAUCUACUACGGCGAGGUCAACAUGCCGCCCGAGGACUCGCUGCAUCCUUACUCCCCAAGCAACUCCCAGGUCCCCACCAAGGGGUCCUGGCACCCACCUCGGGUGGCUUUGAGGCCUGCUCUCCUGCCCCAGCUAGGCGAUGUGGGCCCAGCGCCUCCCUCCAGAGGGUUUGCUGGUGCCUGGGGCUGGGCCUGGUGCUCUCUGAAGCAGUUGGCAGCUGGCAGGGAGGGGUUUGCAGCCAGGAGGAACCAGUGGGUUCCUGACCCUCACAACUGCCCAGAGGACGGGGUGGGUCAUUGCUUUGUGUGACAGUUGAGCACAGACAUGGAGCUACUCCUUAUGUCACUUCAGUAGGGGUCUGAACAUGGAGGGUCAGGAUGCCUGUUAGGCCUGCAAGGCCAUGGAACAGCGCUACAGAUGUGCAGACACUAUUUUUCUGGGGAGGGGAUUCAUGGUUUUCUUUGGAUCCUGAAUGGGGCCUUUGACCCACUAAGUAGUUCAGAAUCCAUUUGGAGAGCAUGCUGGCGUGGGGGCUUGGGGCUCCAGCUGCGCCCUUCCCUGUCCUUCUCUGGGAGGGUGCAGGCGGACCAGCUUCCUUUAGUCAGCUCCUUAACCAGGCCCCAGCUACUUGUUUGCGGCCCCCUACUACUACGGCUUCUACAACAACCGGCUGCAGGCGUACUGCAAGCAGAACCUGGAGAUGAACGUGACGGUGCAGAACGUGCUGCAGAUCCUGGAGGCAGCUGACAAAACGCAGGCGCUGGACAUGAAGCGGCACUGCCUGCACAUCAUCGUGCACCAGUUCACCAAGGUCUCCAAGUUGCCCACGCUGCGGUCGCUGAGCCAGCAGCUGCUGCUGGACAUCAUAGACUCCCUGGCCUCCCACAUCUCAGACAAGCAGUGCGCAGAGCUGGGCGCCGACAUCUGAGGCCCUGUGGCGCCCGCCCAUUGUGAAGAAUCGCCAUGCCUGCCUGCCCUGCCUACUGAGAAGACUACCGGCUAUGCGCAUGCCUAUGGCAGUGGGUGCACCUGCCAGGCCAAGGGUUAGGGUGCCCAGAGCCUCCAAAGAGAGCUGAGGGGAUGUGGGGCCCCAAACUCCUUAAUUCACUGAAGACACAGGUCCCACAGGGAGCGGAUGAUGAAGCAGACCCCCUCCCCUGUCAUCACCCUCUCCUGGUGUAGUGUGGAUGCGAGGCCACGGCUCAGUGAUGGGCUCACCACCCAGAAGUGGGGAGAGACCUUGGGCCUCCCACCCAGUGGGGCUUGGCCUGGCUCCUGUGGCCUGGGCGUGUUGUGGACUCAGGCACUGGGGCCUGUCACCAAGGCUCCUCCAACAUGCGGGAGGCGGCUUAGCAGACUUGCGCUGCACCAGCGAAUCUGCCUGGGCUGCUCCUGUUCCACCCACCCUCACUGAGAUCCAUGUAAGGGGCUCCUCUUCCCACCUGGAACUUGUGAGUGGGGACCCAUGAUGUAUGGGUCUCACCUGACUUGAGGUGAAUUUUGGAGUGAAGGGCCCUGAGGUCAGCUCCCAGGUCGGUCAUGCUGGGCCAGGCCUGGUUUUCACAGGGGCUGAAGGAUCCCAGUCCACCUGUGUGCAUGUCAGGGCUCGGCCGGGAAGAAGCCAGCAAAGUCCCCCGUGUCCCUUGCUGAGUAUUCUGUCACAGACAAGCCUCCAUUAAAGCCACAGCAGUGCUACCCACCACACACACCUUGCUGGCCCGGCCACCACUGCUGGCUUCAGCCCCUUGAGUAGCCCAUGGCUUAGCAGACCCCCAGAUGUAGGUCAGGUGGCCUUACCUGUCUCUAUCCAUGCUGUCAACUCCUGCCCCCACCUGGGGUCACCCAGUCACAUUGGGAAGGCUGUGAAGGCCUCCAGGCUGGCCCCGCCCAGGGGAAUCCUGGAGGCCUGGGGUGGGCUCCUGCCCCUUCUGCCGUGCCUUGCCCCUGCACUAUGCUCUUGGCUCCUGUGGAAGGAGGGCUGCCCUCUUGCCCUAGUGAGGGCCCCAUGUGGAUCCACUCUGGUGCUGGGAGCCAGCGCUCCCUUACUGGGAACAGGAUUCCAGGACCCCUUUCUUGUUGUGGUUGCCAUGAAGCCACAGCUCCUUGGGGAAGUGACCUGCUCUCCUUUGGUUGUAUGCAGGUGUGUGGGGGGCCCUGAGUGGCAAGUUGCUUAGCUAACAGGAGAUCCAUAGGCAGCCUGCAGGCUAGGAAGUGGCCUAGUGCAAGAUGAGCUGGGAAAAAGGGAGGAGAGAGCAGGAGCUGGGGCAGAGGCUGAGCCGGGAGGCCCUUGAGGUGAGGACACAGCAGGCCCAGGACCAUGGCUGGGGAGGAUAUGUCAGCACCUGGAAGUGGAGUGCAGGCUGCGGCGGCCAGCCAUGUGGGCCAGGUGCAUUCACUCAAGAGUGGGGCCACACACCCACCUACCCAGUUUCCACAAGAUGUGGCUCCUGCCACACCCACAAGGCAGCCUCCUCCAAAUCCCUCCUGGAGGGGCCUACCCAGAAGCCUCCUUGAACCAGUCUGCAACCCUGCUCUAUGCUGACCCUUGUCACUGAACCCUGAUCUAGACUUAUAUGAAUAAAUGAAAUUACAUGCCAAGGGCCCUAAAAAGCAAA
This 3508-nucleotide small RNA is filed under the name Pan troglodytes (chimpanzee). RNAcentral's name for it is "retained intron". The record is from RNAcentral. Lineage: Eukaryota; Metazoa; Chordata; Mammalia; Primates; Hominidae.